GCCUCGGUAGCUUAGCCCGGUCGAGCGAUUGACUUGUAAUCAAUAGGUCGAGGGUUCAAAUCCCUCCCGGGGCU
This 74-nucleotide transfer RNA is filed under the name Methanomicrobia archaeon. RNAcentral describes it as "tRNA-Thr". It matches the Rfam family "tRNA". From Rfam's summary of the family: Transfer RNA (tRNA) molecules are approximately 80 nucleotides in length. Their secondary structure includes four short double-helical elements and three loops (D, anti-codon, and T loops). The record is from RNAcentral. Lineage: Archaea; Methanobacteriati; Methanobacteriota; Methanomicrobia.